This is a long non-coding RNA of Pogona vitticeps (central bearded dragon), 1594 nucleotides long. NCBI's taxonomy places the organism in Eukaryota, Metazoa, Chordata, Lepidosauria, Squamata, Agamidae. The record is from Ensembl.
CAUCCAGCUGAUGACCAACUAUGGAAGCCGCCAAGCAAGGUGCAGCCGCCCUUGUCGUGCAGCAGUGGCGAGCUUGCAGGGCUGUGGUGCAGGAAGUCCGAGUGGCCACGCUCCCUCGCCCAGGACGGUGGCAAACCGCCUGCCAGAGCCGUCAGCUUGGAAGGGACCAAGCCUCUGGCUUCUGCUUGGCCUUCCCGUUUGACUGCCUCUGUUUCUCUCAACAGUUGCACUGGAAGCGAGGGAGGCUGCGAUGAGGAAGAAGAACUCCUUGAAGUCAUGUUUAUGCAAGUGUAGAACGAUGAGUAUAGUUUACCGUAAUUUAUGGAUUUUGUGUGUUUUUUUUAAAAAAGGUUAGUAACAUCUGUUAAAAACCUAUACUCUAAGAGGCUAAGUCUGAAGUCCACUUGGCUGCAAAACAACCACACUUUCCCGGGGGUGGGCAGGAGAGUGCCCGGAAUAUUAGUUCCCCCCCCCCUCAAAGUCCUCAGCACAUGUCCUGGCAGGAAGACGCCGGCGGGUUGCCAAGAAAAGAGGAAAAGAAAGUGAAACGCUUCCUCCGAGGAGUAUAUAGGGGGGACAUCAGAGGUUCACUCCCUGCAGCCUCCCGACAGCCCUCUGAGAAGAGAAUCCUGCUCUGCACCACCUCUGGCUAGCACCAUGGCCCUCCGUUCUGUGCUUCCCUUCUGCCUCCUGGCUGCUGCAGCUCUGGCUCUCUGCAUCCUUCCUGCCCAAGCCGUCAGGAACAAUUUGGAGGACUGCUGCCAGUCAACCAGAGAUGUACCUUUGCAAGCCAGAAAUGCAAACAGAUUUGCAACUUACCGUAUACAGAAGCCACAGAUGGGCUGCUCAAUCCCUGCAAUUGUGCUGAUCACUACGAAUGGCCGUGGACUGUGUUUCCCUCCAGAGUCUAAGUCGGCUUUGGCCAUCAAGAGAGUACUGGAUGCCAGAGCACUCCGGAAGCAGAAGCAGUCCUAAGGGCUCAAGGUGGGCAUCACGUACACUUAUCAUGUCUGUCUGGAGGAGGAAUGGGGACCCACUCUUGGCUAUGCUAGCUGGGGAAUUCUGGGUGCAAAAAGGAACUUACUCAAGCUCUGUGCAUUUUUUGGGGUGGGGGUGGGGAGACUGAGUGGCAUCCAAAGUUUUGCCCGUGAGUGAAAUGAAGAGGACUCAAAGGGGGGGGGAGAUCAAGAGCCUGCUCUGAGGGGCCACCUCACCCCUUUGCAUCUUCUAUGGGGUUCAGUGAUGGCAGCUUUCCCACUGAGCGACGUUCCUGCCUUAGGGGUGCAGGUGACCUCUUGAGCGCCGGGGCGCCAUGGGAUGGAUGGAUUUCUUGGACACCAAGUCCCAGGGAGUGGAUUUUUCUGUACACAUACGAAAUAUGAGUAUUUUUUUUAACAAAGUGCUUGUAAAGAGUUUUAAACUUAAAAUCCUUUCAAUAAUAUUAUUAAAAUUAGUUCUACCUUAAUACUUGUGAUUCUGUUGUGUUUUACGGUCCUUUGGCUUUAAGCUGUUUUGUAAGCUGCCUGGAAUCUCAGUUCUGGGAUAAAGGUGGCAUAGAAAUAAAACAAAUAAAUGUUCAGGAAACCUGGGUCCA